UAUUUGUGGAAACACAACAGAUUGAUUUUGU
This 31-nucleotide non-coding RNA is filed under the name Mus musculus (house mouse). The record is from RNAcentral. Lineage: Eukaryota; Metazoa; Chordata; Mammalia; Rodentia; Muridae.